RNAcentral lists this unclassified non-coding RNA (793 nucleotides) under Hevea brasiliensis (rubber tree). Lineage: Eukaryota; Viridiplantae; Streptophyta; Magnoliopsida; Malpighiales; Euphorbiaceae. The record is from RNAcentral.
GGCAUGAAUAAAAAAUUUAAUUCAAAGUUCUUUUUUUUAAAAAAGAAAAUAUCCUUCUAUAUCAAUUAAUAUGUACAUCUUUUACCUUCUUUUUUGUUUUUUUUUUUAAAUAAGAGAAUGAGCAUUUAAAAAUUUAUAAUUCUACUUGUUUGUGUUUGUUUAUCUUUGUCUAUAUUUAUGUCCAUCUAUAUCUAUGUCUAUGUCCGUUUAUGUUCAUGUCUAUAUUUGUGUCUGUAUCUAUAUCUGUAUUUAUCUAUAUUUAUAUCUAUGUCUAUGUUUGCGUUCGCUUGAGCCUGUCUGCAUUUGUAUGCGUCUUUGUUUAUCUAUUUAUGUUCUUUUUUUUGUGUUUGUGUCGAUCUCUAUGUCUGUUUUUCUAUUUGUCUGUGUUUGUGUUGUUGUUUGUGUCCAUGCUUGUCUAUGUGAGUCUACAUCUAUAUGUCUAUAUCUAUGUCAGUCAAUCUACAUAUGUGUGUUUGUGUUUGUGUCUAUAUGCAUCUUUCUGUUUGUGUUUGUUUCUGUGUUCAUAUUUGUUUGUCUAUAUUUAUGUUCAUGUCUAUGUAUGUGUUUGUGUCUGUUUUUGUCUGAAUCUAUAUGUGCGUGUGUUAUCUAUGUUUAUUCGUGUUUGUCUUUGUUCAUAUCUACAUUUGUGUUCGUAUUUAUUUCUAUUUGUUUUUAUGCCUAUUAUGUAUUUGUAUCUUCGUCUCUGUGUCUUUUUGUUUGUGUGUCUAUCAUAUAAACAAAAUGAGAAAAAGUGAAUGUCAAGAGAAAAUGAGAUAUAACAAUAGAGAGUAAU